AUAAUAGUAAAAACUGAAGCUUCCAUGUAGCAUCCAACGUACAGCAUGCAGAUACGCAUAGUACAUUUUAAGAGCUGAACUCAGGAAGUACCACCUGAAAAAGGAGGGGCACUAUAAAGCAUGCACAUGUUAAUUUUACUCAUCCAAACUGGUUAAAGCUUCUCCAGUCUCAAAGCUUCUCAUUCAGUUUCCUGCCAGAAUGGACUAACUAGCUCACUUCUUGCAUGUCAGAGUUGCAUUCAUGGAACUUUCAAACCAGAAACUGGUUACGCUCGUGUUGUCUACAAGGAUGAAGGAUAUGUAUGUGGCCCCCCUUCAGAGACAUUGAAAAUCAAUCCAGCAACAAUACCAGAGGAUUUGCAGUUAUCAUACAAUUUAGAAGUUCAAAUUGCAUCUUAAAAUUGUGAGAAUUGUUUAUUGCUUUGUGAAUAGUUCCAGAAGAUUCAGAACAGUAUACUGACUCAACAAAAGUUAUUCCAUAAACAAAACUGGGCUAUUUUUUGGUGCUUAAAAUAUUAUAACCCUAGUAGUACCUCCAUAAGCUUCCCAUAUCUCCCCAUCAUUCUAAGGGCACAAGGUAUUGGUAUGUUAUUAUUAUAAGCAGUGAGACAACGCAGGCCUUAGCUAAUUGAAACAGUUAUGUCCUUGAAUCUUGAUCAAUCACUUCCAACAGAAAUAGCUUGAAUUGAUGGAAAUAUUGCCCUACAGCAUUAUCCUGUCAAUAGGCUUGUGAUUUUAGAACAAAUGCGAUAAACACAAUUCUAACACAAUGUUGUAUUCUCACUUUGGGUUUUCUCUCUUUCUCACUCAUUCAUCACACUUCGUAGUUCCUAUACAAUACGCAACUAUAAAUAAAAAUAUCUAUCACAACUCCGAUAAAAUAGCUCAAGUAUUGGAAUAAACCUAGCAUCGCUAUAUUUGCACUAUUUAACACCGCAGCAUUUGCCAACAAAAUAAUCAUUUUCUAUCACAGAUACCAAGAAUAAGAAGACCCAAACAGGAUAUAAGGAUAGAUGCUGAUAAACUGACAUUAAAAAGGAAGUUGAAAGUAAUAUGUGUUAUGAACUGUAGGUACUAGACUAUUACAAUGUUUACAACCUGUGUGAAUUUUAUCAAUGAAUUAAUUGGGAAUUCUUAGUAAAGUUUCACCUCCACCCUAGGGUUAUCUAUCUUUAUGAAAAUGGUCAAAGAGACGAAAGGAGAAAGAAUGAAAAAUACUUGAUCAAGCCAGCCAAGUCAUUCACAGAAAGGGAGCAUUCCUUGCAUAACCCAUCAGUUAUUAGGUCCUCUGGGGUUUCAGUUCCACGUAUAGCAAUUACUACAGAUUGUAGAUGAUGUAGAACCACAACAAAAUAUGCAGCUUGACACUUG
This 1371-nucleotide small RNA is filed under the name Vigna angularis var. angularis. RNAcentral's name for it is "Non-protein coding transcript". The record is from RNAcentral. Lineage: Eukaryota; Viridiplantae; Streptophyta; Magnoliopsida; Fabales; Fabaceae.